RNAcentral lists this ribosomal RNA (1563 nucleotides) under Escherichia coli. RNAcentral's name for it is "partial 23S ribosomal RNA". It matches the Rfam family "Bacterial large subunit ribosomal RNA", at positions 323 to 1874 of the family's 2925-position model. Lineage: Bacteria; Pseudomonadati; Pseudomonadota; Gammaproteobacteria; Enterobacterales; Enterobacteriaceae. The record is from RNAcentral.
UGUGUGUUAGUGGAAGCGUCUGGAAAGGCGCGCGAUACAGGGUGACAGCCCCGUACACAAAAAUGCACAUGCUGUGAGCUCGAUGAGUAGGGCGGGACACGUGGUAUCCUGUCUGAAUAUGGGGGGACCAUCCUCCAAGGCUAAAUACUCCUGACUGACCGAUAGUGAACCAGUACCGUGAGGGAAAGGCGAAAAGAACCCCGGCGAGGGGAGUGAAAAAGAACCUGAAACCGUGUACGUACAAGCAGUGGGAGCACGCUUAGGCGUGUGACUGCGUACCUUUUGUAUAAUGGGUCAGCGACUUAUAUUCUGUAGCAAGGUUAACCGAAUAGGGGAGCCGAAGGGAAACCGAGUCUUAACUGGGCGUUAAGUUGCAGGGUAUAGACCCGAAACCCGGUGAUCUAGCCAUGGGCAGGUUGAAGGUUGGGUAACACUAACUGGAGGACCGAACCGACUAAUGUUGAAAAAUUAGCGGAUGACUUGUGGCUGGGGGUGAAAGGCCAAUCAAACCGGGAGAUAGCUGGUUCUCCCCGAAAGCUAUUUAGGUAGCGCCUCGUGAAUUCAUCUCCGGGGGUAGAGCACUGUUUCGGCAAGGGGGUCAUCCCGACUUACCAACCCGAUGCAAACUGCGAAUACCGGAGAAUGUUAUCACGGGAGACACACGGCGGGUGCUAACGUCCGUCGUGAAGAGGGAAACAACCCAGACCGCCAGCUAAGGUCCCAAAGUCAUGGUUAAGUGGGAAACGAUGUGGGAAGGCCCAGACAGCCAGGAUGUUGGCUUAGAAGCAGCCAUCAUUUAAAGAAAGCGUAAUAGCUCACUGGUCGAGUCGGCCUGCGCGGAAGAUGUAACGGGGCUAAACCAUGCACCGAAGCUGCGGCAGCGACGCUUAUGCGUUGUUGGGUAGGGGAGCGUUCUGUAAGCCUGCGAAGGUGUGCUGUGAGGCACGCUGGAGGUAUCAGAAGUGCGAAUGCUGACAUAAGUAACGAUAAAGCGGGUGAAAAGCCCGCUCGCCGGAAGACCAAGGGUUCCUGUCCAACGUUAAUCGGGGCAGGGUGAGUCGACCCCUAAGGCGAGGCCGAAAGGCGUAGUCGAUGGGAAACAGGUUAAUAUUCCUGUACUUGGUGUUACUGCGAAGGGGGGACGGAGAAGGCUAUGUUGGCCGGGCGACGGUUGUCCCGGUUUAAGCGUGUAGGCUGGUUUUCCAGGCAAAUCCGGAAAAUCAAGGCUGAGGCGUGAUGACGAGGCACUACGGUGCUGAAGCAACAAAUGCCCUGCUUCCAGGAAAAGCCUCUAAGCAUCAGGUAACAUCAAAUCGUACCCCAAACCGACACAGGUGGUCAGGUAGAGAAUACCAAGGCGCUUGAGAGAACUCGGGUGAAGGAACUAGGCAAAAUGGUGCCGUAACUUCGGGAGAAGGCACGCUGAUAUGUAGGUGAAGUCCCUCGCGGAUGGAGCUGAAAUCAGUCGAAGAUACCAGCUGGCUGCAACUGUUUAUUAAAAACACAGCACUGUGCAAACACGAAAGUGGACGUAUACGGUGUGACGCCUGCCCGGUGCCGGAA